Molecule: long non-coding RNA, 616 nt
Filed under: Equus asinus (donkey)
Lineage: Eukaryota; Metazoa; Chordata; Mammalia; Perissodactyla; Equidae
Description: lncRNA (ENSEASG00005025735.1)
Source: RNAcentral
UAAAUGUGUCCCAAUGUGCAGAUUUUAUCAUCCAUCAUGUGCUUCCAAAUGUCUUUCAUUGCCAUCUAAUUUUUUUUUUUGUGGAAGAUUAGCCCUGAGCUAACAUCUGCUGCCAAUCCUCCUCUUUUUGCUGAGGAAGACUGGCCCUGAGCUAACAUCCGUGCCCAUCUUCCUGUACUUUAUAUGUGGGAUGCCUACCACAGCAUGGCUUGCCAAGCGAUGCCAAGUCUGCACCGGAAUCCAAACUGGUGAACCCUGGGCUGCCAAAGCGGAACGUGCGAACUUAACCGCUGCACCACCAGGCUGGCCCCUCAUUGCCGUCUAAUUGAUCACUGCCGUUGAUGGGAUUCGUCUGACCUAUCAGAAAGCUACCAUCGUCCUUCUUCACCUCACAUUUUUGGUGUUUCUUGGAAAAGAUUAGAAUCAGAGAUGUUAUAAAGACCUGUCCGACAUCAUUGCUACUAAGGAGCAGAUGAGAUUUGAACUAGAAGUUACUCCUUCUGAAGACCGAACCCCUACUUGUUUCGUUAUUCCAUGCUGCCUUCGUCUGUGAAAAUGGGAGCAAUUGAAAGCAUCUCAGCCUAAAGCAGAGCUGACCUAAGCCACUUAUUCCAAG